CCUGGUGAAAUUAGCGCUGUGGUCCCACCCGUUCCCAUCCCGAACACGCGCAGCCGCGCCGAUGGUAGUGUGGCUUAAGCCAUGCAAGAGUAGGUCAUCGCCAGGG
Molecule: ribosomal RNA, 106 nt
Filed under: Pseudoxanthomonas sp. Root65
Lineage: Bacteria; Pseudomonadati; Pseudomonadota; Gammaproteobacteria; Lysobacterales; Lysobacteraceae
Source: RNAcentral